Molecule: ribosomal RNA, 460 nt
Filed under: uncultured bacterium
Lineage: Bacteria
Description: partial 16S ribosomal RNA
Rfam family: Bacterial small subunit ribosomal RNA
Source: RNAcentral
CCUACGGGAGGCAGCAGUGAGGACUAUUGGUCAAUGGACGAGAGUCUGAACCAGCCACGUAGCGUGAAGGAUGACUGCCCUAUGGGUUGUAACCUUCUUUUAUAAAGGAAUAAAACGCGGCACGUGUGCCUUUUUGCAUGUACUUUAUGAUUAAGGAUCGGCUAACUCCGUGACAGCAGCCGCGGUAAUACGGAGGGUCCGGUCGUUAUCCGGAUUUAUUGGGUUUAAAGGGAGCGUAGAUGGGUUGGUAAGUCAGUUGUGAAAGUUUGCGGCUCAACCGUAAAAUUGCAUUUGAUAAUGGCAGUCUUGAGUACAGUUGAGGUAGGCGGAAUUCGUGGUGUAGCGGUGAAAUGCUUAGAUAUCACGAAGAACCCCGAUUGCGAAGGCAGCUUACUAAACUGUGACUGACAUUGAUGCUCGAAAGUGUGGGUAUCAAACAGGAUUAGAUACCCGAGUAGUC